AUGCGUUGUUGGGUAGGGGAGCGUUCUGUAAGCCUGUGAAGGUGUGUCGUGAGGCAUGCUGGAGGUAUCAGAAGUGCGAAUGCUGACAUAAGUAACGAUAAAGCGGGUGAAAAGCCCGCUCGCCGGAAGACCAAGGGUUCCUGUCCAACGUUAAUCGGGGCAGGGUGAGUCGACCCCUAAGGCGAGGCCGAAAGGCGUAGUCGAUGGGAAACGGGUUAAUAUUCCCGUACUUGGUGUUACUGCGAAGGGGGGACGGAGAAGGCUAUGUUGGCCGGGCGACGGUUGUCCCGGUUUAAGCGUGUAGGCUGGUUUUCCAGGCAAAUCCGGAAAAUCAAGGCUGAGGCGUGACGACGAGGCACUACGGUGCUGAAGCAACAAAUGCCCUGCUUCCAGGAAAAGCCUCUAAGCAUCAGGUAACAUCAAAUCGUACCCCAAACCGACACAGGUGGUCAGGUAGAGAAUACCAAGGCGCUUGAGAGAACUCGGGUGAAGGAACUAGGCAAAAUGGUGCCGUAACUUCGGGAGAAGGCACGCUGACACGUAGGUGAAGUGAUUUACUCAUGGAGCUGAAGUCAGUCGAAGAUACCAGCUGGCUGCAACUGUUUAUUAAAAACACAGCACUGUGCAAACACGAAAGUGGACGUAUACGGUGUGACGCCUGCCCGGUGCCGGAAGGUUAAUUGAUGGGGUCAGCGCAAGCGAAGCUCCUGAUCGAAGCCCCGGUAAACGGCGGCCGUAACUAUAACGGUCCUAAGGUAGCGAAAUUCCUUGUCGGGUAAGUUCCGACCUGCACGAAUGGCGUAAUGAUGGCCAGGCUGUCUCCACCCGAGACUCAGUGAAAUUGAACUCGCUGUGAAGAUGCAGUGUACCCGCGGCAAGACGGAAAGACCCCGUGAACCUUUACUAUAGCUUGACACUGAACAUUGAGCCUUGAUGUGUAGGAUAGGUGGGAGGCUUUGAAGUGUGGACGCCAGUCUGCAUGGAGCCGACCUUGAAAUACCACCCUUUAAUGUUUGAUGUUCUAACGUGGACCCGUUACCCGGGUUGCGGACAGUGUCUGGUGGGUAGUUUGACUGGGGCGGUCUCCUCCUAAAGAGUAACGGAGGAGCACGAAGGUUGGCUAAUCCUGGUCGGACAUCAGGAGGUUAGUGCAAUGGCAUAAGCCAGCUUGACUGCGAGCGUGACGGCGCGAGCAGGUGCGAAAGCAGGUCAUAGUGAUCCGGUGGUUCUGAAUGGAAGGGCCAUCGCUCAACGGAUAAAAGGUACUCCGGGGAUAACAGGCUGAUACCGCCCAAGAGUUCAUAUCGACGGCGGUGUUUGGCACCUCGAUGUCGGCUCAUCACAUCCUGGGGCUGAAGUAGGUCCCAAGGGUAUGGCUGUUCGCCAUUUAAAGUGGUACGCGAGCUGGGUUUAGAACGUCGUGAGACAGUUCGGUCCCUAUCUGCCGUGGGCGCUGGAGAACUGAGGGGGGCUGCUCCUAGUACGAGAGGACCGGAGUGGACGCAUCACUGGUGUUCGGGUUGUCAUGCCAAUGGCACUGCCCGGUAGCUAAAUGCGGAAGAGAUAAGUGCUGAAAGCAUCUAAGCACGAAACUUGCCCCGAGAUGAGUUCUCCCUGAGACUUAGAGUCUCCUGAAGGAACGUUGAAGACGACGACGUUGAUAGGCCGGGUGUGUAAGCGCAGCGAUGCGUUGAGCUAACCGGUACUAAUGAACCGUGAGGCUUAACCUUACAACGCCGAAG
Molecule: ribosomal RNA, 1742 nt
Filed under: Salmonella enterica subsp. enterica serovar Hadar
Lineage: Bacteria; Pseudomonadati; Pseudomonadota; Gammaproteobacteria; Enterobacterales; Enterobacteriaceae
Description: partial 23S ribosomal RNA
Rfam family: Bacterial large subunit ribosomal RNA
Source: RNAcentral